AACACUGUAACCAGGAUAAGAGAUAGGAGCGGAAAGGAUUCUCGAGCCAAAAACGCUUCGAGGGGAUAGCGAGCACACUGAGGACGAGUAGAAGCCAUGGCUUCUCUCCACACUUGCAACUCCUUCCCCUUCCCCCUCCCCCUACCCUCCUUACGAACCCGCAUCUACGAUCCCAAACCCUGCAGAUCUCUCCUACUCUUACCCUCAAAGCCCCUUCGAAUCCAGAGCUCGAAAGCCUCCAUUAAUGGCGAAAGCGAAGCUCCGGCACCCCCCAAACCCACCCGCCGAGGUCGAAAGAAGUCGUCGACCGCAGAUACGGUCCCCUCAUCCCCAUCUCCCGCCAAAAGAACCCGACGGUCGAAGAAGAACCCACAGGAACCCGAAGAACCCAAAGCAGAGAGAUCGAAAGAAGAAGGAAAGGAGGAAGGCGACGACGACGAGUUCGACGACGGGAUCGACUUCCCCUACGAAUCUCCGCCGUUGAUCUGCUGCUUCGGUGCUGCGCAGCGGGAAUUCGUCCCCACCGUCCGAAUCUCAAAGCGCCAGAUGCACCCCGACCAGUACUCCUCGUGGAAGCAGCUCCAGUGGAGCCCGCCGGAGUUCGCGCGAGCCCCCGGCGGCUCGCCCUCCAACGUCGCAGUCUCGCACGUGCGCCUCGGCGGCCGCGCCGCCUUCAUGGGGAAGGUCGGCGACGACGACCUCGGCAACGAUCUCGUCUACCGCAUGAACUUGGAGAAGGUGCAAACCCGCGCCGUGAAGAUCGAUAAGAAUGUUAAGACCGCGGCUUCCUACAUGAGAUUAGGGUUCCGAGAUCAGGAAGAUGGGAAGGGGAAGAGAUUGGUGGCUGAGACUGUUAAAGGCUGUGCCGAGGAUUCGUUUGUGAAAUCCGAUGUAGAUGUUGCUGUUCUCAAAGAGGCUAGGAUCUUGCACUUCAACUCUGAAGUACUCUUAACUUCUUCAAUGCAUCCCCCACUAUUCAGGGCCAUUCAGUUAUCGAAAAAGUUCGGAAGCAAAGUGUUUUUCGAUCUAAACUUGCCAUUACCACUAUGGAAGUCGAAAGAAGAAACUUGGGAAGUGAUUAAAAAGGCGUGGAAUGAGGCUGAAAUUAUUGAGGUCUCAAGGCAGGAGCUCGAGUUCCUCUUAGACGAGGAAUAUUACGAGAAGAAACGGAAUUACACACCUCAAUACUACGCAGAAUCUUAUGAGCAAACAAAGAGGAUGAGGGAUUAUUACCAUUAUUUGAGGGAAGAGAUUGCUCCCCUUUGGCAUGAUAAGAUAAAGAUACUUUUUGUGACUGACGGAACGCUUAGAAUUCAUUACUACACGCCCAAGUUUGAUGGUGCGGUGGUCGGGACAGAGGACGUGUUGAUUACUCCAUUCACGUGUGAUCGGACCAGUUCGGGGGAUGCUGUUGUGGCUGCAAUAAUUAGGAAGUUGACUACCCAUUUGGAUAUGUAUGAGGAUCAAGACAUUUUGGAAAGGCAGCUUCGAUUUGCUGUGGCAGCGGGGAUUAUUUCUCAGUGGACGAUUGGUGCAGUAAGAGGAUUCCCAACUGAGAGUGCCACUCAGAAUUUGAAAGAGCAAGUUUAUGUGCCCUCAAUGUGGUGACAUCUUGGCUACAGAUAUAUAUGUUAGAGAUUGAUAAUUUCUGAUUGUUAGAGAAUAUAUGGUAUUGGAACAAGGGCUGUGUAGUGCUGGAGACUUGAGCCUUGCUGAAGUGAGACGGCGCUUUAUUCCCAGUUGAUUUUCAAGGGGUGUUGAUGAGGACUGGGGGUUUUUGCAGUUUUAAGUGCAGGCCAUCUAAAGGAAGUUGAGAAUUAUAUAAAGAUGAGCAGAAUCUUUCAAAUUUCACGAACCGGCGGGUCCGAUCGCUGCACCAGGCUUGGCAGUGUCUCCUCCGUCAACCCCAGCGCCGCGCCUCUUCUCCGUGCCUCAUGAGGUACAUGUCUUCCACUCUCGCUGUCCAAGUGUUCAAUCCAACAAGACCCCAAGAAGCCCAUCAUCGCCGCGAAAGAAAGGAGAACAAGAAUUGCCGUCCUCGUUGUCGUAAAGCUAUCCGAAAACCUCUUAUCUUUACAGAGCGGCGGCCUCUUUCCUGGUGGUGGCGCAGUGGUCGGGUGAUGAUCGUCAGCCACAGCAUCAACCGUGUCGUCAUUCUCCGAUGGUUGGAAAGGUCUUUCGAGAUCGCCGGAGUAGUCGGACGCCCGCCGCCUCAUCGGGCCGGAGGCUAUUGGAUUGAAGCUGGCGGUGGCGGCCGCCGGAGUGGGCCCAGCAAUGCUUCCCAUCGCCAGAGGUACCCAAAGAAAGAAAGAGAGACAGAAUGGGCGAGGGAGAGAAAAGCCCGGGAAAUAGGACGUGAUUAAAUGGUGUUUAACAAUCUCUCUCUCUCUCUCUCUCUCUCUCUCUCUCGGCAGAGUUAUAUAUGAUUACAAUUACAAUUUAUAUAUAGUUAGUGGCUAAAAUUUCUCUCUAUUUUCUUUCUUUUCUUUUCUUUUCUUUUUUUCCCCCUUAAAAUGGUUUCUCUCUGCUUUUCAUCAAGUGAUGGAGGUCCUCUAACAGGAAUGCCAUAUUUGGACUUGGGAAUAAGUAACUUGGGACGGCCAUAAGAUCUUGUGAUCCUGUCAAGUGAUAAAACAAAUACGUGCUUAUCAUUUAGAAAGAAA
Ananas comosus (pineapple) is the source of this 2663-nucleotide RNA transcript. It is a transcript of the gene named fructokinase-like 1, chloroplastic, with no coding region annotated. The record is from RefSeq and is a predicted model, not a curated record. NCBI's taxonomy places the organism in Eukaryota, Viridiplantae, Streptophyta, Magnoliopsida, Poales, Bromeliaceae. The transcript has 3 exons.